AACGAACGCUGGCGGCAUGCCUAACACAUGCAAGUCGAACGAGACCUUCGGGUCUAGUGGCGCACGGGUUCGUAACGCGUGGGAACCUGCCCUUAGGUUCGGAAUAACUCCCCGAAAGGGGUGCGAAUACCGGAUAAUGUCUUCGGACCAAAGAUUUAUCGCCUUUGGGUGGGCCCGCGUUGGAUUAGCUAGUUGGUAGGGUAAAAGCCUACCAAGGCGACGAUCCAUAGCUGGUCUGAGAGGAUGCUCAGCCACACUGGGACUGAGACACGGCCCAGACUCCUACGGGAGGCAGCAGUGGGGAAUAUUGGACAAGGGGCGAAAGCCUGAUCCAGCCAUGCCGCGUGAGUGAUGAAGGCCUUAGGGUUGUAAAGCUCUUUUACCCGGGAUGAUAAUGACAGUACCGGGAGAAUAAGCUCCGGCUAACUCCGUG
This 433-nucleotide ribosomal RNA is filed under the name uncultured bacterium. RNAcentral describes it as "partial 16S ribosomal RNA". It matches the Rfam family "Bacterial small subunit ribosomal RNA", at positions 29 to 507 of the family's 1533-position model. The record is from RNAcentral.